RNAcentral lists this ribosomal RNA (396 nucleotides) under uncultured bacterium. Its description in RNAcentral is "partial 16S ribosomal RNA". It matches the Rfam family "Bacterial small subunit ribosomal RNA", at positions 523 to 918 of the family's 1533-position model. The record is from RNAcentral.
AUACAGAGGGUGCAAGCGUUAAUCGGAUUUACUGGGCGUAAAGCGCGCGUAGGUGGCUAAUUAAGUCAAAUGUGAAAUCCCCGAGCUUAACUUGGGAAUUGCAUUCGAUACUGGUUAGCUAGAGUAUGGGAGAGGAUGGUAGAAUUCCAGGUGUAGCGGUGAAAUGCGUAGAGAUCUGGAGGAAUACCGAUGGCGAAGGCAGCCAUCUGGCCUAAUACUGACACGGAGGUGCGAAAGCAUGGGGAGCAAACAGGAUUAGAUACCCUGGGAGUCCAUGCCGUAAACGAUGUCUACUAGCCGUUGGGGCCCUUGAGGCUUUAGUGGCGCAGCUAACGCGAUAAGUAGACCGCCUGGGGAGUACGGUCGCAAGACUAAAACUCAAAUGAAUUGACGGGG